CACGGGGGUUGCGAGCGUUGUCCGGAAUUACUAGGCGUAAAGGGCAGGCAGGCGGAUCUAUAAGUUUUUCGUUUAAGGCGUCAGCUUAACUGGCGUACGGCGGGAGAUACUGUAGAUCUGGAAUGCGGUUGGGGAAGACAGAAUUCCUGGUGUAGCGGUGGAAUGCGCAGAGAUCAGGAGGAAUACCGAAGGCGAAGGCAGUCUUCCAAGCCGUCAUUGACGCUCAACUGCGAAGGUGUGGGUAUCAAACAGGAUUAGAUACCCUGGUAGUCCACACAGUAAACGAUGAUCACUGGGUGUCGGGUUCGAAGAGGAUUCGGUGCCGUAGCUAACGCGAUAAGUGAUUCGCCUGGGGAGUACGAUCGCAAGGUUGAA
This 375-nucleotide ribosomal RNA is filed under the name uncultured bacterium. Its description in RNAcentral is "bacterial SSU rRNA". It matches the Rfam family "Bacterial small subunit ribosomal RNA", at positions 524 to 898 of the family's 1533-position model. The record is from RNAcentral.